Molecule: long non-coding RNA, 2252 nt
Filed under: Oryzias sinensis (Chinese medaka)
Lineage: Eukaryota; Metazoa; Chordata; Actinopteri; Beloniformes; Adrianichthyidae
Description: lncRNA (ENSOSIG00000023551.1)
Source: RNAcentral
CUUAUGAAGCAAGCAGACUCAUAUUCAACACUGCAGCAUAUCUCCUGCUUUGUGUGGAGCUGCUAUUCCUUGUGUUUUUUAAUAAGAGUAAUGUCUAACAUGUUUGCUUGGGUGGAAAGUUGGUCUGUAAGGCUCCAAUCUGGUGUUACACUGAUGGGAUCGAGUAAAUGCAGGUUUGUGCUGGCAGAUGCCUCCCUUGACAGGUUGCUCCCAAAAAAAACAAAUGAAACAAAAGAGGAAGGGUAAUUGUUGCUUCAUUCAGCUGUUGUAUGCAGCGGGUGAGGAGGCUGAACUGAACGCUUGAUGAUGGGAAUCAGAUGCUUCUGGGUACCUAUUAUUUCACACUGAACUUCCUCCCCAAAAGGGGUUUAUUUAUGCAAUCAAAUGCAGACAUGCAUUGAAAAAAAACUGUUUGUGUAUUUAAUUUACCUGUAUGUUUUAGUUUUACUUUUCCUGAUUGUAAUGGGUUUUGGUGUGUAAGACAAGACACCAUGUUCCCUUCUUCACAUGUAUCACCAUUAGUUCAGCUCAGGUGUAUUACUGGUGUUUUAGCGCCCUCUGGUGGUUGUAAAGAGUUCUGUCUGCAUGUGUUCAUACAUCAAGCAGAACAACUUGGGGAAAAAAAACAUAUACCAUACACUAGGGCUGCACGAUAUGAGGAAAACUCACAAUUUGCGAUGUUACUGAUCAACAUUGUCAUGAUGAUGUUGAUAUCACUUAUGAUAUAUAAACAAAUAGCAAAAAGCAAAAACAUAAUUUCAUUUCACUGCAAUAGUUUUAUUUCAAUAACCAUUUUAAAGCUAGAUUUUCAAAGUUUUUCCUUUUGUUUUGCCCUUAGCCGAUGGGGUUUUGGUGGAAAAUGUGUGCAGCUGUUCACUCUUUGGUUUUUGUCUAAAUGAGUACAAAAAACAAUAAUAGUAAUACUAUUAACAAUAAGACAAAGACCAACUUGGGUCAAAUUUUUUUUUUACAUUUGAUAGAGUGAUAGAUAGUAGUGAUAAAUAGGUAGUAAUAGUAAUAGUAAAAGUAAAAGUGAUAGAUAGGUUAACAUAGAAACCAAUCAAUAAAAGCUUGAACUUCAAUACGCUAUCAGAUUUAACACAUUCUGAUAUGUUGCCUGAAAACCUGCUUAAACUGUUCUGCAGGCCUCUUUUUCUUCUGACUGUCACUUAAGUUACAUGUAAAUUACUAGAUUUAUCAGUUAUUUUUAUCUAAUUACUAACAGUUUUGUUUGAUUUUGAUAAUGCUUCAAAUAAAAAGAAAUAAAUUUAUGUAUAAAAUGUUUUUGAUUAUUAGAGUAAGUCUCUUGUGUGCCGUUUCUGUUUAUGCUGUGCUAACAGACAACGCAGGUCAUGGUUUCUCAUGAGGCCAUAAGCUUUAUUAAGUAUGCCUUGGUAGAGGCGUUGCAGCAGUUGUUUACUGUGUGGGCUGCAUUCCAGACAUGCCCUGUGUUUAACAGCGGUGGAGGCGCCUUGUGUGGUGUUGGGAGGGGGAGAGGCUGCAGCCCACGGAGCCUGAGAGGCCUCUGCUCAGAGGCGUGGUCCUGAACCCGGAUCAGCACCAAGGCCAGCGACACGUUGAAUACUGCAGAAUCACAGCUGAUUCGUGUUUGUUUUUUAGUGCAUGGGGAUUUGGACUGCAUUAAUCUCCAUAGAGAAUCAAACUUUUGUUUCUUAAAUAGUGUGCAGAUUUGAGCCAUGAUCAUUAACUUCAUUUUUCUGUGAGGCAAAAUCCUCCUUUCCUUUGUGGUCCGUUCGUGCAGAGUCACGACCCAUCAUGUGCUCACACAAUGCGGAGCUAAGGGAAAUGAGAGCGUCUGGAUGCAGACUGCAGCACCAGCUCCGCACAUCGAUCCCAUUGACCAUUCUGCUUGCACAGCAGAGACAGCUGCAGUGACACAGACAGUGCGCACACGAAAGUUUUGAUCCGUGCAAUCUGGAAAAUAACCCUAUGAUCGGUGCGCAAAUGUAUUAAGAUGUGGGAUUCAUCAAAUGUGCGCCUUGGGAGCACUGAAGGUGAAACAAAACUCCAAACACAGCCGUGUUCGGUCCUGGACUGCAGGACAGAGAUGAGCUGCAUGAGUGAAGCCGUGUCUCCCCAGAGGGUGGAGGCUUUUUUUUUUUUUUUUUUUGCAAAAGCUUGCAGGUUUCCCCUGAUCUUGUGUUGUUGCUGCGUCAAAUGAUGCGCCACGGCACCCUAUAGCUAUAAAAGCACCUGUCUUGGCCAGACAUCAUUCGCAUCUCACUUUUCUC